RNAcentral lists this ribosomal RNA (468 nucleotides) under uncultured bacterium. Its description in RNAcentral is "partial 16S ribosomal RNA". It matches the Rfam family "Bacterial small subunit ribosomal RNA", at positions 28 to 507 of the family's 1533-position model. The record is from RNAcentral.
GACGAACGCUGGCGGCGUGCUUAACACAUGCAAGUCGAACGGAAAGGCCCUGCUUUUGUGGGGUGCUCGAGUGGCGAACGGGUGAGUAACACGUGAGUAACCUGCCCUUGACUUUGGGAUAACUUCAGGAAACUGGGGCUAAUACCGGAUAGGAGCUCCUGCUGCAUGGUGGGGGUUGGAAAGUUUCGGCGGUUGGGGAUGGACUCGCGGCUUAUCAGCUUGUUGGUGGGGUAGUGGCUUACCAAGGCUUUGACGGGUAGCCGGCCUGAGAGGGUGACCGGUCACAUUGGGACUGAGAUACGGCCCAGACUCCUACGGGAGGCAGCAGUGGGGAAUAUUGCACAAUGGGCGGAAGCCUGAUGCAGCAACGCCGCGUGCGGGAUGACGGCCUUCGGGUUGUAAACCGCUUUCGCCUGUGACGAGGCGUGAGUGACGGUAAUGGGUAAAGAAGCACCGGCUAACUACGUG